GUCCCUGUAGCUUAAAACAAAGCAUGGCACUGAAGCCGCCAAGACGGACACUCUUUUUCCCCGGGACA
RNAcentral lists this transfer RNA (68 nucleotides) under Poicephalus gulielmi gulielmi. RNAcentral describes it as "tRNA-Phe". Lineage: Eukaryota; Metazoa; Chordata; Aves; Psittaciformes; Psittacidae. The record is from RNAcentral.